GCUUGUCUCAAAGAUUAAGCCAUGCAUGUCUAAGUAUAAAUGGUAUACAGUGAAACUGCGAAUGGCUCAUUAAAACAGUUAUAGUUUAUUUGGUAUUCGAAUUUACAUGGAUAACCGUGGUAAUUCUAGAGCUAAUACAUGCAUUACGCCUGACUUUUCGGAAGGGCAGUAUUUAUUAGAUAACAGACCAUCUCCCCCAAAGGAAAUGUGGUGAAUCAUAGUAACUGAUCGAAUCUCAAAUUUGAGAUAAAUCAUUCAAGUUUCUGCCCUAUCAGCUUUCGAUGGUAGUGUAUUGGACUACCAUGGCAGUAACGGGUAACGAAGAAUUAGGGUUCGAUUUCGGAGAGGGAGCAUGAGAAACGGCUACCACAUCUAAGGAAGGCAGCAGG
RNAcentral lists this ribosomal RNA (389 nucleotides) under Mytilophilus pacificae. RNAcentral describes it as "partial small subunit ribosomal RNA". It matches the Rfam family "Eukaryotic small subunit ribosomal RNA", at positions 30 to 432 of the family's 1831-position model. The record is from RNAcentral. Lineage: Eukaryota; Ciliophora; Oligohymenophorea; Pleuronematida; Peniculistomatidae.